GUCAGACUCAGAGGAUCUUCCCAAAGGCAAGCACCAGAUGCAUUCACGCAGGAAAUGAACCAUGUUCACUGAGAAGCUACUGGAAGACUUGAACAUCUUUUUUAAUGAGAACCUAUACCCAAACCCCAGCCUGCAGUGGGCUUCGAAAAUUGACAUACAUCCAACAGUACUGGAGGUCUGGUUCGAAAACCACAGAGCAAAACUUAAGAAAGCAAAAUGCGAGCAUAUUCAGCAAAAACAAGAAACUCAACAACCAUCAAUACCAGAGGGUGAAGUCAAGACUAGUGCUGGCCUGAGAAAUACACACACGGUACUCAGAUUCCCCAAUGCUGUUCAUCCUGUCGGCCUGGUGUAUAUGAAUCUUUGGACACCCUUGUUCCAACUCAUUCUGUACCCCAACCUUAAGGUCCCUACAAAUGACUUCCCUGGCCAAAAAAUAGUCCAUUUUGGCUGCUGCCAAGAUCCUAACAUAUACUGCCUCUAGCCCGUUUUGGAAUCCCAAGUUUGUUCUCCAAGCUUCAAUUCUAGUUCUUCUGCCUGUUCUCUCUACGAAGUCGAGAGAGAUGCU
Molecule: long non-coding RNA, 568 nt
Filed under: Homo sapiens (human)
Lineage: Eukaryota; Metazoa; Chordata; Mammalia; Primates; Hominidae
Description: non-protein coding lnc-MPC1L-8:1
Source: RNAcentral